RNAcentral lists this RNase P RNA (350 nucleotides) under Ethanoligenens harbinense. Its description in RNAcentral is "RNase P RNA component class A". It matches the Rfam family "Bacterial RNase P class A". From Rfam's summary of the family: Ribonuclease P (RNase P) is a ubiquitous endoribonuclease, found in archaea, bacteria and eukarya as well as chloroplasts and mitochondria. Its best characterised activity is the generation of mature 5'-ends of tRNAs by cleaving the 5'-leader elements of precursor-tRNAs. RNAcentral also lists the same sequence under 1 other name. The record is from RNAcentral. Lineage: Bacteria; Bacillati; Bacillota; Clostridia; Eubacteriales; Oscillospiraceae.
CGAGCAAGCCAGACAGCCGCGGGUGCAGCGCCGAAAGGUCGCAUCUGAGGAAAGUCCGAGCUCCACAGGGCAGGAUAGCGGGCAACGCCCGCCGGAGGCGACUCCAGGGACAGUGCAACAGAGAUAUACCGCCGGGUUUCGGCCCGGCAAGGGUGGAAAGGCGAGGUAAGAGCUCACCGGCGCGCAGGAGACUGCGCGGCCCUGCAAACCCUAUCCGGAGCAACACCCGUAGGGGAGUUAUACGCUAGCCCGGCGUUAUCCCCGUGAUGGUGGCGUGAGCCGUGUGGCAACGCACGGCCAAGAUAGAUGGCUGUCAAAAACAGAACUCGGCUUACAGACUUACUCGCACC